UUCCUUUUCUUUUUCUCAUUUUCUCUUUUUCCUUCUCCUUCUUCUUCUUUCAUUUUUGUUCUUCUUGGUAGAUGGUUGCCAGAUCUUGUUUUCCUUCUCUUUUCUUAUUUUUCCUCGCGUUUUUUUUUCUUUCUCUUUUGUUGUUUGAUCUAACUUUUAUUAUGUGAAAUUUGCAGCAAUUGGAGCACCCUUUUCUCUGCCGUUUGUGUCGCCGCCGCCACCAGAGUCAACGCCGUCGCCGUCUCUGUCGCGAGUUUACAGAUCUGAAAAUUGAUCUCUUACCUAACUUUGUCUUUGCUUUUGUCAAAGAGUUUGAUCCAAGUAGCUGAGUUUUGGAGGUGGGUUUUUUAUGUGAAGUGAGGAAAUGAUGAAGAGGGUCGGAGAUGAGAUGAAAAAUGAAGUCUUGCAGCUGGUGGAGAGACCGGGGAGGAAUAAAGAUUGUGAGAAUCAGACUGUUGAAACGGAGUUGGAGACUGAGACCCAACAUCCAUACGCCUUUCAUGUUUCUCUCCGGGGCUUAAUUAUGGAUAGGAGCAACAUGAUGGAAUUGAGAUUGCAACACAACCUAAUAAAAUAACAUGAGGAAACGAACUCAAUCAUUGUCAACUCAAGCAUUUAGGGAUUCCUAGAAGAGCAACAUCCCAACCACUAAAUCCAAAAUAUUUUAUCCAUCAAUCCCUGCAACAAGUGGAAUCUGUACAAGAGCAGCAUCAAGGAGGGCAGGUCAAAUACACAAAUUCCAACACCAUUUCUGAAUGUCACAAACACUCCUUCACCAUCACCACCUAAUUCCUUACAUCUGGGCUAGGAAGAGUGAACAUUCAAAAAUCAGUGUCAUUUGCUCGAGGUUAUCCACCAAUAGCAAAAUCAAUUAUGACUCGGGAAAGAGCAAAAAUCACAGCUGAACAUAAUUUUCCUGUUUUGAAAAAGGAUGGGAAGAAAUUUGUUACGUUGUCUAACCUCGCUGCAAUUAUUAAGGCAACAACUUCAAAAGUCAAAGGAAAAGAGAAGGCUUGACAUGCAAUGAUAUGUACUUUUUUUAUUUUUUGUCCUCAAAACAUCAUGACCAAAAUGAAUGUACACAUUUUACUAUGUGGAGAUGUGACUUUAUUUUAAAAAUCAAUGUGGAGUUUUUCUAGUA
Non-coding RNA from Sesamum indicum (sesame), 1141 nucleotides. NCBI's taxonomy places the organism in Eukaryota, Viridiplantae, Streptophyta, Magnoliopsida, Lamiales, Pedaliaceae. The record is from RefSeq and is a predicted model, not a curated record.